Molecule: ribosomal RNA, 253 nt
Filed under: uncultured bacterium
Lineage: Bacteria
Description: partial 16S ribosomal RNA
Rfam family: Bacterial small subunit ribosomal RNA
Source: RNAcentral
UACGUAGGGUACAAGCAUUAAUCGGAAUUAUUGGGCGUAAAGGGCGCGUAGGCGGGGAUGUAAGUCAGGUGUGAAAUACCAAAGCUCAACUUUGGUGCUGCAUUUGAAACUGCAUUUCUUGAGGACUGACGGAGAAAGCGGAAUUCCAUGAGUAGCGGUGAAAUGCGUAGAUACAUGGAGGAACACCGGUGGCGAAAGCGGCUACCUGGACAAUUGCUGACGCUCAGGCACGAAAGCGUGGGGAGCAAAAGGG